RNAcentral lists this ribosomal RNA (491 nucleotides) under uncultured bacterium. Its description in RNAcentral is "partial 16S ribosomal RNA". It matches the Rfam family "Bacterial small subunit ribosomal RNA", at positions 29 to 507 of the family's 1533-position model. The record is from RNAcentral.
GUGAACGCUGGCGGUAGGCCUAACACAUGCAAGUCGAACGGCAGCACAGCAAGAGCUUGCUCUUACGGGUGGCGAGUGGCGGACGGGUGAGGAAUACAUCGGAAUCUACUUUUUCGUGGGGGAUAACGUAGGGAAACUUACGCUAAUACCGCAUACGACCUACGGGUGAAAGCAGGGGAUCUUCGGACCUUGCGCGAUUGAAUGAGCCGAUGUCGGAUUAGCUAGUUGGCGGGGUAAAGGCCCACCAAGGCGACGAUCCGUAGCUGGUCUGAGAGGAUGAUCAGCCACACUGGAACUGAGACACGGUCCAGACUCCUACGGGAGGCAGCAGUGGGGAAUAUUGGACAAUGGGCGCAAGCCUGAUCCAGCCAUACCGCGUGGGUGAAGAAGGCCUUCGGGUUGUAAAGCCCUUUUGUUGGGAAAGAAAAGCAGCAGGUUAAUACCCCGCUGUUCUGACGGUACCCAAAGAAUAAGCACCGGCUAACUUCGUG